Molecule: ribosomal RNA, 442 nt
Filed under: uncultured bacterium
Lineage: Bacteria
Description: partial 16S ribosomal RNA
Rfam family: Bacterial small subunit ribosomal RNA
Source: RNAcentral
CCUACGGGCGGCAGCAGUGGGGAAUAUUGGGCAAUGGGCGCAAGCCUGACCCAGCAACGCCGCGUGAAGGAAGAAGGCUUUCGGGUUGGAAACCUCUUUUAAGAGGGAAGAGCAGAAGACGGUACCUCUUGAAUAAGCCACGGCUAACCACGUGCCAGCAGCCGCGGUAAUACGUAGGUGGCAAGCGUUGUCCGGAUUUACUGGGUGAAACGGGCGUGUAGCCGGGAAGACAAGUCAGAUUUGAAAUCCCGCGGCUCAACCGCGGAACUGCAUUUGAAACUGUUUUUCUUGAGUACCGGAGAGGUCAUCGGAAUUCCUUGUGUAGCGGUGAAAUGCGUAGAUAUCAGGAAGAACACCAGUGGCGAAUGCGGCUGACUGGACGGCAACUGACGGUGAGGCGCGAAAGCGUGGGGAGCAAACAGGAUUAGAUACCCUAGUAGUC